AGCAGCCGCGGUAAUUCCAGCUCCGAUAGCGUAUAUUAAAGUUGUUGCAGUUAAAAAGCUCGUAGUUGAACCUUAGGCCCGUGCGGGCGGUCCGUCCUCUGGGCGAGCACUGCCUCGUCGCGGGUCUCACCUUCUGGCGAGCGCGGAUGCCAUUCAUUUGGUGUCCUUGGGAACCAGGACCUUUACCUUGAAAAAAUUAGAGUGCUCAAAGCGGGCUCUUACGCUUGAAUACAUUAGCAUGGAAUAAUGAAAUAGGACGACGGUUCUAUUUUGUUGGUUUCCGGGAUUGUCGUAAUGAUUAAUAGGGAUAGUUGGGGGCAUUCGUAUUCAAUUGUCAGAGGUGAAAUUCUUGGAUUUAUUGAAGACGGACUACUGCGAAAGCAUUUGCCAAGGAUGUUUUCAUUAAUCAAGAACGAAAGUUGGGGGAUCGAAGACGAUCAGAUACCGUCGUAGUCUCAACCAUAAACUAUGCCGACUGGGAAUCGGGCGAUGUUAUUUUUCGUGACUCGCUCGGCGCCCC
RNAcentral lists this ribosomal RNA (520 nucleotides) under uncultured Paraglomus. Its description in RNAcentral is "bacterial SSU rRNA". It matches the Rfam family "Eukaryotic small subunit ribosomal RNA", at positions 569 to 1089 of the family's 1831-position model. Lineage: Eukaryota; Fungi; Glomeromycota; Glomeromycetes; Paraglomerales; Paraglomeraceae. The record is from RNAcentral.